Molecule: ribosomal RNA, 393 nt
Filed under: uncultured bacterium
Lineage: Bacteria
Description: partial 16S ribosomal RNA
Rfam family: Bacterial small subunit ribosomal RNA
Source: RNAcentral
CUACGGAGGAUGCGAGCGUUAUCCGGAUUUAUUGGGUUUAAAGGGUGCGUAGGCUGUGCGUUAAGUCAGGGGUGAAAUGCCGUCGCUCAACGACGGAGCUGCCCUUGAUACUGGCGUGCUGGAGUACGGAUGCCGUUGGAGGAAUGAGUGGUAUAGCGGUGAAAUGCUUAGAUAUCACUCAGAACACCGAUUGCGAAGGCAUCUGACGAAUCCGUCACUGACGCUGAGGCACGAAAGCGUGGGGAUAGAACAGGAUUAGAUACCCUGGUAUUCCACGCCGUAAACGAUGAUGACUAACCGUCGGCGAUAGACAGCCGGUGGCCAAGCGAAAGCGAUAAGUCAUCCACCUGGGGAGUACGUCGGCAACGAUGAAACUCAAAUGAAUUGACGGGG